CAGUGGCUUGCCUUCCUCAGCUGUAGAACAAUUUCAUUUCUCACCUGUUCUUGUCACCACCUUAGGGUUGGCACGCUGUGAGCAGGACUCUGGGGACCCAGAACAUUCUCCAGUUGUGGCAAAAUCACCACGUGCACCUGUGCGCUAGUACCAAAUUGACAGGCUGUUCGUCUGAGGGCCCAUCAGUAAAAGCCCCGAGUCUACUGGCCAAAAGAGGAGCCGGGCACUGUCAACAGCAG
Long non-coding RNA from Callorhinus ursinus (northern fur seal), 239 nucleotides. RefSeq lists it as uncharacterized. NCBI's taxonomy places the organism in Eukaryota, Metazoa, Chordata, Mammalia, Carnivora, Otariidae. The record is from RefSeq and is a predicted model, not a curated record.